ACCUGGCUGGCUCAGUCAGUAGAGCACAUGACUCUUGAUCUCAGGGUCAUGAGUUUGAGCCUCAUGUUGGGCA
Molecule: transfer RNA, 73 nt
Filed under: Felis catus (domestic cat)
Lineage: Eukaryota; Metazoa; Chordata; Mammalia; Carnivora; Felidae
Also listed under: 3 other names
Rfam family: tRNA
About the family: Transfer RNA (tRNA) molecules are approximately 80 nucleotides in length. Their secondary structure includes four short double-helical elements and three loops (D, anti-codon, and T loops). Further hydrogen bonds mediate the characteristic L-shaped molecular structure. tRNAs have two regions of fundamental functional importance: the anti-codon, which is responsible for specific mRNA codon recognition, and the 3' end, to which the tRNAs corresponding amino acid is attached (by aminoacyl-tRNA synthetases). tRNAs cope with the degeneracy of the genetic code in two manners: having more than one tRNA (with a specific anti-codon) for a particular amino acid; and 'wobble' base-pairing, i.e. permitting non-standard base-pairing at the 3rd anti-codon position.
Source: Rfam by way of RNAcentral